GUGGGGAAUAUUGGACAAUGGGCGAAAGCCUGAUCCAGCAAUGCCGCGUGAGUGAUGAAGGCCUUAGGGUUGUAAAGCUCUUUUACCCGAGAUGAUAAUGACAGUAUCGGGAGAAUAAGCUCCGGCUAACUCCGUGCCAGCAGCCGCGGUAAUACGGAGGGAGCUAGCGUUGUUCGGAAUUACUGGGCGUAAAGCGCACGUAGGCGGCUUUUUAAGUCAGGGGUGAAAUCCCGGGGCUCAACCCCGGAACUGCCCUUGAAACUGGGAAGCUAGAAUCUUGGAGAGGCGAGUGGAAUUCCGAGUGUAGAGGUGAAAUUCGUAGAUAUUCGGAAGAACACCAGUGGCGAAGGCGACUCGCUGGACAAGUAUUGACGCUGAGGUGCGAAAGCGUGGGGAGCAAACAGGAUUAGAAACCCGUGUAGUCC
This 425-nucleotide ribosomal RNA is filed under the name uncultured bacterium. RNAcentral describes it as "bacterial SSU rRNA". It matches the Rfam family "Bacterial small subunit ribosomal RNA", at positions 354 to 796 of the family's 1533-position model. The record is from RNAcentral.